GUCUACGGCCAUGCUGUCCUAAACAAGCCCAAUCCUGUUUGAUCUCGGAAGCUAAACAGAGUUGGACCUGGAUAGUACUUAGAUGGGAGACUACCUAGGAAGACCAGGUGCUGUAGGUG
This 119-nucleotide ribosomal RNA is filed under the name Pteropus alecto (black flying fox). The record is from RNAcentral. Lineage: Eukaryota; Metazoa; Chordata; Mammalia; Chiroptera; Pteropodidae.